This 253-nucleotide ribosomal RNA is filed under the name uncultured bacterium. RNAcentral's name for it is "partial 16S ribosomal RNA". It matches the Rfam family "Bacterial small subunit ribosomal RNA", at positions 524 to 776 of the family's 1533-position model. The record is from RNAcentral.
GACGAACCGUGCAAACGUUGUUCGGAAUCACUGGGCUUAAAGGGCGCGUAGGCGGGCUUACAAGUCAGGGGUGAAAGCCCACGGCUCAACCGUGGAAGUGCCUUUGAUACUGUAAGCCUCGAGCGAGGUAGGGGCGAGCGGAACUUCCGGUGGAGCGGUGAAAUUCGUAGAUAUUCGCAAGAACACCAGUGGCGAAGGCGGCUCACUGGCCCGAUACUGACGCUGAGGCACGAAAGCGUGGGGAGCAAACAGG